Molecule: ribosomal RNA, 501 nt
Filed under: uncultured bacterium
Lineage: Bacteria
Description: partial 16S ribosomal RNA
Rfam family: Bacterial small subunit ribosomal RNA
Source: RNAcentral
AUUGAACGCUGGCGGCAUGCUUUACACAUGCAAGUCGAACGGUAACAGGGUGCUUGCACCGCUGACGAGUGGCGAACGGGUGAGUAAUGCGUCGGAACGUGCCGAGUAGUGGGGGAUAACGCAGCGAAAGUUGUGCUAAUACCGCAUACGUACUGAGGUAGAAAGUGGGGGACCUUCGGGCCUCACGCUAUUCGAGCGGCCGACGUCUGAUUAGCUAGUAGGUGAGGUAAAGGCUCACCUAGGCGACGAUCAGUAGCGGGUCUGGGAGGAUGAUCCGCCACACUGGGACGGAAGCACGGCCCAGACUUCUACGGGAGGAAGUAGUGGGGAAUAUUGGACCAGGGGGGGAACCCUGAUCCAGCCAUGCCGCGUGUGUGAAGAAGGCCGUAUGGUUGUAAAGCACUUUAAGCGAGGAGGAGGCUCUUUUGGUUAAUACCCAAGAUGAGUUGACGUUACUCGCAGAAUAAGCACCGGCUAACUCUGUGCCAGCAGCCGCCGCUG